Molecule: unclassified non-coding RNA, 219 nt
Filed under: Hevea brasiliensis (rubber tree)
Lineage: Eukaryota; Viridiplantae; Streptophyta; Magnoliopsida; Malpighiales; Euphorbiaceae
Source: RNAcentral
UGAUGAUCUUAGCUCAAGAAAUAAGAAGUGGAAGAGUUGUAAAAAGUUUGAAAAUUUUAGAUGGAAAAUUAAGAGAGAAAAUGAGACACAACAGUUUAGAACUCUUCAAAUUAGAAACAGAGCAUGAAGAAGAGUCGUUGUCCCCAUCUGAACAGAAACAAAAGUAAAUUAAUGGACUGUUAUCAUUAAAUAAUGGCCAUUACUAUUACAUAAAGGCCG